This 156-nucleotide ribosomal RNA is filed under the name Palicourea guianensis. RNAcentral's name for it is "5.8S ribosomal RNA". It matches the Rfam family "5.8S ribosomal RNA". From Rfam's summary of the family: 5.8S ribosomal RNA (5.8S rRNA) is a component of the large subunit of the eukaryotic ribosome. It is transcribed by RNA polymerase I as part of the 45S precursor that also contains 18S and 28S rRNA. Lineage: Eukaryota; Viridiplantae; Streptophyta; Magnoliopsida; Gentianales; Rubiaceae. The record is from RNAcentral.
GACUCUCGGCAACGGAUAUCUCGGCUCUCGCAUCGAUGAAGAACGUAGCGAAAUACGAUACUUGGUGUGAAUUGCAGAAUCCCGUGAACCAUCGAGUUUUUGAACGCAAGUUGCGCCCAAAGCCAUUAGGCUAAGGGCACGUCUGCCUGGGCGUCA